CUCACUUGUGAAACAGGCAUUAUAGUACAUGAGAGUGUUUAAUGGUUCAUAAUGCUCACAUGGCCUCAUUUUGAGACAGGGGUAACUGCAGCCUGGAGCAAUGGGCGUGCCGAAAGGUAGGGGCGUGCCAAAAGGUAGGGGCGUGCCAAAAGGUUUCUCAUUGGUCAAAUGAGUUUUACUCUGUUGGCCAAUCAGCGGUAAAUAUACAUGUACUAAUUUCCUUUAGACAAGAGAAGGUGGCGGCGAUAAGACGUGAGGUGUCCAACUAAUGCAGAGUAUUCAAGUUGCCAACACACUGGUUGUGAAGUACCCUUUCAAGAGAAAUAUAAAAGGAAAUGACUGAAACUUGUGUUGGGGAGGAUUCAGUGUCUGUUGAGGUCCAUGUGAAUGUGCUACAAAGUGAGUAUCAGAAAACACAUCCAGACACCUGGACUGUCAAAGACCACACGGCACGAACAUUCUCCUGGAGACGCUGAGAAAGCACGGAAGGAAUGUCUGUGGAGGAUGUACUUAAAAACACCCAUACUUAAGAACACCUGCUGGAGGGGACCCUGCUACACUCUUUCCUACCAUACACCUGAUGGAUUCUGACUGGAAAAUGGUAAUCAUAGGAGGGUUCAGUGUGGUGACAGAAGAUGGAAUAGACGUGUGUCAGUGCACCAGCCUUGAUGAAGCCUUCAUAACAGCCUUCUGGAUGUAUUUUGCUUUCAACAUUACAUAUCCACCACACCUGAGAAAGACACUGACUUUCCUUCAGAGGCACAGUCAACAUUGUGGAAGAUGGAGACAAGCACUGCCAGUAACUUUCCUCUGAGUGAUCAGCCUUUUGUAUUAGAUCCUCAUGCCUCAACUGUACCAUUACACAAAGUGCACUCGAAGGACAUUCACUCUUUUGAAGUUAAUCGAACAUGUUGGAGUUGUACAUACACAUGAACCAAAUUUUAGUAUAACCUGUGGUAUAGAUGAGUGCCAAUCAACUUUUUUGUGAUUCCAUUCUUUUAGAAAACAUGCACAGGAAUCAUAUGUACUUUUGGUAAUAAAAAUGACUCUCAGUGAAGAGUCUGCAGUACAAUUAUAUUAUAAUAUAAUGGAGAAGGGUCUGGCUGCAGACUUGCACUUGCACUCUCAGACACUUGCGCUUCUGCUAGUGACAACACUUGCAGUCUUUUUUUUAUUUGUAUUUAGUUAUAUCUAUCUAUUUUUUUUUUUUU
Molecule: long non-coding RNA, 1211 nt
Organism: Cyprinus carpio carpio
Lineage: Eukaryota; Metazoa; Chordata; Actinopteri; Cypriniformes; Cyprinidae
Source: Ensembl